CCUACGGGUGGCUGCAGUGAGGAAUAUUGGUCAAUGGUCGUAAGGCUGAACCAGCCAAGUAGCGUGAGGGAAGACUGCCCUAUGGGUUGUAAACCUCUUUUAUGCGGGGAUAAAGGUGUCCACGUGUGGAUGUUUGCAUGUACUUUAUGAAUAAGGAUCGGCUAACUCCGUGCCAGCAGCCGCGGUAAUACGGAGGAUCCGAGCGUUAUCCGGAUUUAUUGGGUUUAAAGGGAGCGUAGAUGGGUUGUUAAGUCAGUUGUGAAAGUUUGCGGCUCAACCGUAAAAUUGCAAUUGAUACUGGCAGUCUUGAGUACAGUUGAGGUAGGCGGAAUUCGUGGUGUAGCGGUGAAAUGCUUAGAUAUCACGAAGAACCCCGAUUGCGAAGGCAGCUUACUAAACUGUGACUGACAUUGAUGCUCGAAAGUGUGGGUAUCAAACAGGAUUAGAUACCCCUGUAGUC
RNAcentral lists this ribosomal RNA (460 nucleotides) under uncultured bacterium. Its description in RNAcentral is "partial 16S ribosomal RNA". It matches the Rfam family "Bacterial small subunit ribosomal RNA", at positions 338 to 795 of the family's 1533-position model. The record is from RNAcentral.